Long non-coding RNA from Balaenoptera ricei (Rice's whale), 5655 nucleotides. RefSeq lists it as uncharacterized. NCBI's taxonomy places the organism in Eukaryota, Metazoa, Chordata, Mammalia, Artiodactyla, Balaenopteridae. The transcript has 2 exons. The record is from RefSeq and is a predicted model, not a curated record.
CCAGAGAAGGGGGGCACAGUUCUUGAGGCACUAGCCUGCCAUGUUUUCCCCUUUGCCUGGCAAAGAAUUAAAGCUAUCUUUCUUUUUCCUCCAUAAACUCUAUCUCUGUAUUUCUGUUCGGCAUUGGUGCAGAGAGCCAAGGCGGUUUUUUUUGGCAACAAAAUUUGGGGGCUCAUCCAGGAUAUGCUCGCGGGCAGGCAGCCCCGCAGGGCCCCUUGGCUUGAUUGGAUGCUCGGGGAUCUCUCUCCAUGCCAGCCUGCCAGCCUCCUUCAGGAGAGCGGACGGUUGGGGGAUUUCUCUGAGGCCAGAUCGCCAGGGACUCCCUGCUGCAGGGCCGUGCCCCACCUCACCCUACCAGCCGUCAUGGCUGCAGAACUCCAAAACUGUGGCGGAGAACAGGGGGGGGCCUUUGCCCUAGCAGCUGCCGAGGCUUAUUUUUAUUUUUUUAUUUUUUGCCUUAAGGACACCUUCUCUUCCCUUCCCCGCACCAGCCCGGACUUCUACUCCGAGAAGACUUUGAUCCUCUUGGAGGAUCAGAAAGAGGGCAUUUGUUAAGUCGCGACACACCCGCCAGCAUUUUGGUGGCUCCACAAUCAAAAGCCUGAGGAAUCAAAAAAAAUCUCACCUAACAUUCUAAAUGAUCCCCUUCCAACUUCAAGCAACUCUCAGGAGGGAACGAAGCUUCUGCAACUCCUGCAAGUUCCCUCACUCCUCCAGAGUCUUCUGAUCAAACUAAGACCCCACCUCCCCAGAGAAACAAGCCCUGCUAGGACAUUUUAUCAGCCAGUCUGCCCCUGUUAUUAGGGUCAAUUUGAGCACUAUUUGGUCUAUAUUUUAGCUAUGAAACUAUGCCUACAGAAAGAGAAAGAUGAUUUUUGACAGUUUGGCCACAAUAUUCUUUAGACUCCGGAGGAAAUUGGUUAAAGUAAAACUUUUUUUGAAAUUGCAAAACCAGUUCUUUUGGCAUGUGCAAUGAGAAAAAGCUAGCUUGUUGAAAUACUUUUUUUUUCAGAAUCCUGACCCUGAGAGAACACAAAUAUGCCUAGGAGAAAGCUUGAAGUUAAUUCUUACCGUGUCCUUGAGAUACAAACACAACACAGCCCACUUUGCCUGAGACUUCAGCUUUGGGUUAAUUAGUAGAACUUCAAGCAAGGGGAAAAAAAGGGGCAGAGACAUUUUAAGCCCCAAGUGGAAAACUAUGAGAUCUGUGUUUGUCUGGAUACAUGUGUAUAUCUCAGUAUGUGUCUUUGUCUUUGGAUAAUACUGCUGAGGUUAAUUUGUAAAUGAGCUCUAUUUCAUUGGUUAAAAGAAAAGUAAGUGCUUACAAAUCAAACAAUUCUAAAUACAAGAGAAAUUAAGCUAACCGAAUUCUAGGUUCUCGUGAACUGGGAAAUACUCAGUAUUAAAUUAAUACCUGGUAUUAAUGUUUCUUGAUGAAAUUAAUAUAGACAUGUCUUUAGAGUCAUCAAGUAUAAUACUUUUAUUGUGCCUAGGUUUAAUAUAAACUAAAUAAGAUCCUAUUAUAUCUGUUGCAAAUUUGUCAGCAAUGAAAGUAACUUGAUGUGAAGAAAUUUUUAAGAAAAAAUACAAAUGAGAUAAGAGCUCUGGGUAAACUUUUUAGGAAUAAGUAUGUUUUAGGAAUGUCAAUUUAAGAAUAAUCCUUCCAGAUGCCCGACAACUUGAAAAUUUAGAGUUGUGCUAAAUUAAGUUAAAUGAUGGAAGUUUAUUGAAUAACUAGGCCAUUUCCAAAUAAAAUACUGAAACAUCCCAAGGGGAGAUAUUAAACUAAUUAGGUUCAUUGGGUAUGUUAAAUUACAUGGGAAGUAUUGUCAAAUGAGUAAUAAAUCUUCUUAGGUUAUAUUGUAUGGUAAAUGUUACUAAUAUAGAUACUCUAGAAAUUAUAUGGGAUUCCUAAAGUUCUGAUAUGUCCUGGUAAAAUGUUAUCAGUCAUAAAUCCAGUUAUUAUCUUAAGGUGUUGUAUGUCACAGCAGUAGCCAAGUUACCUUGUCAAAUUACAUUACAUUGUAAUCAGAUUUUAAAUGUGUCUUCUUAAGUCUUUUAUCAUUAUAGACAGUUAUGGUUUUAUUCUGAUGCCUUUGCAAAAAUGCUUCCUCUUCAAGAAGAUUUAUAGAAAGGACUUUUAGAUAAAUACAAGCUUCUGACUUGUACUGAACUGGGUAAGAAGUAGAAAAAUUCUAGAAAAAACAUGAUGGCUUCAUAAAAAGUUAACAAAAGGACUAAAUGAACUGGUGAAUAUGGUUAUAAUUUUAUGGUUUCUAUCUGAAAAAUUACUGGUUUGAAUCUAUGUUUUCCAGGUGUGAGGAAAACCUCCCCAUCAAGCAAAUUAUGGCUUACAGUAAUUUGGUAAAUUAUACUUUUGUAAGCGGAAUUGAAACAUUUAUCUUUUCUCUCUGCCUGCUCCCUCCAGAGAUUGGAAACUCUUAGGUUCCCAACAGCUUUAUCAGAUAAAUUAGGAAGGCUACAUCACUAACAGGUACAGAAAUCUCAAGUUAUUUUGGGGACCUUGAAAAGGAAGGAAUUCACCUAGAUCUGGUAAGCGAAAUCUGUGACAAGCCCUUGGUGUGACUUUCCUAGUCCUGAGAGGUCUUUUAAAAGUUCAGUCUGAGACUCCUUAUAAAAAUUUCAGUGAGCAAAAAGUCUGUAUGAUCAAUUACAAUUAUAUAAACCAUCAGGCCAUGUUUAUUGAGACUAGACUGAAAUUUGGUUCUCUCUCUCUGUUAAGAGAACAAAAUUUUCUUGGAAUGCUGCUUUUAAUAACAGACUAUGUAAAUUUCUUUGCCUUUAAGUGAUUUGUAUUUGCUUUUAAAAUCGUUUGUUACUUUGGUAAAGUAAAUAAGUAUUAUUUCACAAUGAUCUAUGAAGAUUUUGGCACACAUAGAUUAAGUUCAUCCUGCAUCUACAAAAAUUAACCCCUCAUUGUCAGACUUUUGCUAUCCUGAUGUCUUUGUAACAUGGCAAUGGUCUACUCCUAAGUCAGAGAAUUUAACAUGAGUUAAAAAUAGCUGUAAAUCAAACAAUCAGGGCUAUGGAAAAUCCAAGACAGCUGCUUGGCUUUUUCCAGCUCCAUGACAAACCUCAUUUUUAUGUGAUGGGUUAAAGCCUUCCCUGGCUGCAGAGUUAAUGCCCUCACAAUGGAAACAAAAGAAUUAUGCUUCACUGAAUAUUAAAUUCUAGUUUUGUUAAUUAAGGUCUGUGUUUACCACGACUCACUUUCUGAUAGUUCCUUGCUGUUAUGUUAUACUGCUAAAAAGUUUAACAGAAUUAUUAAAGGACACUCUAAGUUUGUUUCUACAGCUUAUCUCAGUAAUCUAUCUUUGGAUGAAGAUCAGAUGCCCCACGACCUAUAAUCAGGGGAUUAUGCAUAUUGGAAAAGACAUAAUUUAAAGGACUAUCUCCAACCUGGAUGGAAAGACCCUUAUCAGGUAGUUUUAACUAGCUCAUUCACAGUGUAACUAAAGGGAAUUAACGCUUGGAUUAAUUUUCACUCACAAAGUGCCCCUGUACUGGACUGGCCUUUGGAGAGGAUGCCUGAUCUCAAAAUCACCUUAAAACGAUGCUCAAAUGAGGAAACUAUACUCACACCAGGAUGAAAAGAAGAUGACAAUCAGAAGUAGACAGCUUGCCCAAGAUCCCCAACCUGACUCGUAUGAUCAUUUAUAAUGUUUUCUUGACUUCUUGGACCUUUGCAUAUGAAUCAGAUGUUUUUCUAUCAUAGGUAUGAUGCUAUGCUAAUUUUGAAAUCAAUCCAAUUGUUGGGUUUGUGGCCAAUUACCUGUGUCUAGUAUUUCUGGUUUACCUGAGUGAAUUUCUCCACUCCAAGGCUCUAAUUGGUUGACUCUUAGGAAAUUUAUUUAAAGAAAAAUUAUAGUCAUGUUCAGGCCACUAUUGAUAUUACUAGAUAAGAGCCCCUCACCUGGCCAAUUUAUAAUACCUGUUCUGACCUUGGCCAUAAAGAUAAAUUUUCCUCUAUUACUCAAGUACAAUCAGAGCAACAAGCAAAAUUUCAGCCAAGAAAUAAAACCUCCCACAAUUAUGGGAUGGAUUUAUGUAGUUAACACCAGGCUAUGGUAAUUUAAGUUUAAAGGCUCCUCUAUGCUGGGAACAAUUAAAUCAUACUAAGGAUAGUCAGUCUAGUAACACUAGAAAGCUGGACUGGGUGCCUUGUGGACAAUGCCAAUAUAUAAUUUCCCUAAAAUAUAAGGAUUGGUACAGAACAGACUAAGUCAGGCGACCUGGGAUAUACUGGGUCACACCUAAUGAAGUUCUUGACUUAAAUUCUUACUUAUUACCUUACUAAUCUGCUAGCUAUAUUUUUUAUAUUGCCUGUUUUACAAAAUUGUUGUCUUUUACAUUACCAAAUGUGUGACUGAGCCUCUGAUAAAACGAUGAUAUACAGUUCCAUAUGAGAUCAAUGAUUGAAAUAGUGUAACUCUAGAUAUGGGAAGAAGCGACAAGAGGGAAUAUUUUCCUGGGCCAUAAGAGACUAGGAAGACAGGUGGUCCAGAGACUUUUGGAUGCUAGUAAAGGCCUAGUCCCGUAAUAGCACAUCGAUAGUGCUAAUAGUGGCCUAUCAGAAAAAUCUUCGCUAGACCUGGGAAUGAGCGUUCCUAGCACCAUGGGAUGAAAUGGUCAUGAAAUGCUGUCCCCAAACCAUGGUCAAAUUUAUGACCAUGAAGGGGCCCUGCUGACUAGAAAUUAGCACUUGCCAUCUACCUCUACAAAGAUUAAAUCAUGGCCACUGCAGCUAGUGGCCUUCAAUACCCCCUGAAAGCAGUUCAGGGUGGAGAUCAGGAAUGAGGCCGUCUGUGCUCUGGGAAAAACUGGCAGAACAGGCCUUCAGAUAGAUAUUUUCAGAAAAAGAUUUUCAUGAGCUCAAAUUCUUGUAUCUUCUCAUACCUAGAAAAACACUAAAGUUGUUAACGGUGACAACUGCUUUGGUUUAUAUGUUAAUACCACAUCAAAGGUUAAAACCUACUUGGAUAAACCUAGACAACUGGCUACCUGGCUACAAUUCUCCUCGAAGUGUCAGGUCUAGAUUAGGAUUCAGGGUUAUUCUCCUGAAAGAAAUAAGAUCUAUUUUGUCUAUUAAUGUUCAGGUUGUCACUCCUCCAAUUACUUCUGAGUCUGUUACACUGCCAUCAGUCACACUGGGCUAAUAAAAAGGACAUCAAAGGGGCUUCCCUGGUGGUGCAGUGGUUGAGAAUCUGCCUGCCAAUGCAGGGGACACGGGUUCGAGCCCUGGUCUGGGAGGAUCCCACAUGCCGCGGAGCAACUAGGCCCAUGAGCCACAAUUACUGAGCCUGCGCUCCGCAACAAGAGAGGCCGCAAUAAUGAGAGGCCCGUGCAUCGCGAUGAAGAGUGGCCACUGCUUGCCGCAACUAGAGAAAGCCCUCGCACAGAAACGAAGACCCAACACAGCCAUAAAUAAAUAAAUAAAUAAAUAAAUAAAUAAAUAAAUAAAAUUAAAAAAAAAAAGACAUCAAAAAUAUAUAUGACUACACCAAAUGGCUUCAUUCCUCUGGACAGGAUGACCCAAGAACUGACUCUAUCUGGACCACAAUCAAAAUUGUCAUCAAACGUAACUUGGCUCUUACUCCUGCUUUGGCCCCUGGUUAAAAUAAUUCUUUUACUGAU